This 258-nucleotide ribosomal RNA is filed under the name uncultured bacterium. RNAcentral's name for it is "partial 16S ribosomal RNA". It matches the Rfam family "Bacterial small subunit ribosomal RNA", at positions 96 to 354 of the family's 1533-position model. The record is from RNAcentral.
UGGCGGACGGGUGAGUAACGCGUGGAUAACCUGCCUUACACUGGGGGAUAACACUUAGAAAUAGGUGCUAAUACCGCAUAAGCGCACAGCUUCGCAUGAAGCAGUGUGAAAAACUCCGGUGGUAUACGAUGGAUCCGCGUCUGAUUAGCUGGUUGGCGGGGUAAAGGCCCACCAAGACAACGAUGGAUAGGGGUUCUGAGAGGAAGGUCCCCCACAUUGGAACUGAGACACGGUCCAAACUCCUACGGAAGGCAGCAG